CAGGAAGGUUGAGGGAAAUGAGAUGUCCAGACAAAGAAGCAAUAUGGGAAGGUGAGGUGAGGGAGAAUGACAGCAAGGGUCAGGGAGGUGAAGUGAUGCAUGCUGGGAACAUUAUAGACCUCAUGAAUAUCUCACCAGAAGCGCCUGUCUGAAUCAGUCUCGCUAACACACAAAUACACAGGCAUUUACACACACACACACAUACUCUGGGCUCCUUACGUAACUCACCAUCUGACUGAAAAAUCUUGUGCCGUCUGGAGGCCGAGGCUAACAACAGGUAUAAAUGUGAAACGCCUAUUUAACCAUUUCCAAUGUGUGCCGUUGUUUCUCGUGUGUUUAGGUUAUGUAUUAAUUUUCCUCUUCUGGAACAAAUUAAUUCCUAAUGUCUUUCAUCCUACGUUAAAACAAAGCAGCAUGGAUUUCUUCUGUCCUUUUCUAUAGUUGACUUUGAAUUCUUCACAACGAAAGCAUCCGGCUCCUGCCCUUCCCCAGCCAGUUUAUCUCCUGACGUCUAGAAAGGCAUGCACUUUCAGCGAUACAAUCAUAUGCAGUUAGCUUAGUCAGGGACGUCUAAAAUAGAAAUUGUCCAUCCUCCUGUGACCCAAAUGUCCUAAAACAGUGUGUGAUUCUUAAUAUAUUCUCAGAACUUGGCACCCAUAAAUACUCCAGGGACCCUACAUUUUAUAAACCCUGCACUAUAUACGUUGUCAAGCUCCCCUGUUCCUCUCGUCCUCACACGUCAUCCCGGUACUCUGGCUUUCUCCUACUUUCAGUUCAAACACACCUGAAAAGCAAAAGCAGUUUAAUUCGAUUUCUCAUCGAUGUCAUCGAUAGACAAUGCCACCCAAAAUAAUGCAAUUAUAAUACUAUCAGUCCGCUGUCCACCAGCCCAGCACCCAGUUCAUAAACCUUCUCCUCAUGCUACUAGUAGGUUUUUUUAAUAGUCAUCCACACCUUCCAGUGGGAUCAUCACAAGUCUGACUUAUGUACCCAAUGCAAAUUAAUUAAUCCAGAUACAUUUUUCAAUCCAAAUAGAUGGCAUGGCAAUAGAAAUUAGGGUAACAACUAGCUACUUCGACAGUCGCGAUCAAUGUUCUUUUGUGCUCCCUGGCCUGCGGUGAGCUGGGAGUCCUGUGACAUGAUCUUGGAUCCACCACUACUGAAGGCUGAUGACAGGGAGACGAUGAGGGAGGCGCAAGGCAUGCUGGGAGCUCAUGCCUCGUUCGAACAGUCUUGGGCUGUGAGUUGCCCCUGAGGGGCUUCUGUAAACACUGUCCUGGGUGUGCGUGGGCCGUCUUAGUUUGUUGGUGAAGUGGACACCAAGCUGGGAGCUUUCUAGCCAGAAAGGAGGAAAAGCAGGUGAGGGUGGGUGAGUGCUGUGGCGGUUUGCAUAGGAGAGAGACCGUCUCUACCAGUUCAUUUCCUAUAUGGAAUUGUUUUCAGAUGGUCAUUUAGUGAUUUGAUUUGGAGUUCCUGGACCCACGUAUAUGAAAAUGACAUGGAAAUCACAUUCAAAUUGACCUUACGUUGCUGCAUGUGAACUAAAAAACACCCAUGGCUAAACUUU
Molecule: long non-coding RNA, 1567 nt
Organism: Esox lucius (northern pike)
Lineage: Eukaryota; Metazoa; Chordata; Actinopteri; Esociformes; Esocidae
Source: Ensembl